UACAGAGGGUGCGAGCGUUGUUCGGAAUUACUGGGCGUAAAGCGCGCGCAGGCGGCUUUUUAAGUCCGACGGUGAAAUGCCGGGGCUCAACCCCGUGCCCGCCGCGGAUACUGGGAAGCUGGAGACGAGUAGAGGCAAGCGGAAUUCCGGGUGUAGCGGUGGAAUGCGUAGAGAUCCGGAAGAACACCGGAGGCGAAGGCGGCUUGCUGGGCUCGGUCUGACGCUGAGGCGCGAAAGCGUGGGGAGCGAGCAGG
RNAcentral lists this ribosomal RNA (254 nucleotides) under uncultured bacterium. RNAcentral describes it as "partial 16S ribosomal RNA". It matches the Rfam family "Bacterial small subunit ribosomal RNA", at positions 524 to 776 of the family's 1533-position model. The record is from RNAcentral.